This 434-nucleotide ribosomal RNA is filed under the name uncultured bacterium. Its description in RNAcentral is "partial 16S ribosomal RNA". It matches the Rfam family "Bacterial small subunit ribosomal RNA", at positions 27 to 507 of the family's 1533-position model. The record is from RNAcentral.
GAACGAACGCUGGCGGCAUGCCUAACACAUGCAAGUCGAACGAGACCUUCGGGUCUAGUGGCGCACGGGUGCGUAACGCGUGGGAACCUGCCCUUAGGUUCGGAAUAACUCCCCGAAAGGGGUGCUAAUACCGGAUAAUGUCUUCGGACCAAAGAUUUAUCGCCUUUGGAUGGGCCCGCGUUGGAUUAGCUAGUUGGUAGGGUAAAAGCCUACCAAGGCGACGAUCCAUAGCUGGUCUGAGAGGAUGAUCAGCCACACUGGGACUGAGACACGGCCCAGACUCCUACGGGAGGCAGCAGUAGGGAAUAUUGGACAAUGGGCGAAAGCCUGAUCCAGCAAUGCCGCGUGAGUGAUGAAGGCCUUAGGGUUGUAAAGCUCUUUUACCCGGGAUGAUAAUGACAGUACCGGGAGAAUAAGCUCCGGCUAACUCCGUG